RNAcentral lists this long non-coding RNA (2188 nucleotides) under Homo sapiens (human). Its description in RNAcentral is "HSALNT0405126". Lineage: Eukaryota; Metazoa; Chordata; Mammalia; Primates; Hominidae. The record is from RNAcentral.
UAAAUAAAUAAAUAAAUAUAAAUUAAUAAAUAAAAAGAUUCUAGAAGGGUUUUGCAUACAGGUUAUUUCAUUAAUGUCUUUGAGUUCUUGCUCUACUUUAAAAAAACCAAAGCUGCAAAUCAGACGAUGUUAUGAGUAUGGUUUAAGCAAAAAAAAUAUGAUAGGAAACACCAACCAGUGGUCUCAUAUCCGACAAAAAGCCUGGGUCCCACAUGGGGAUUGAUGAAUGCCUUAUCAUUUGUGUUUUGGGUUAAAAUGAACCAUUUAAAGGAAACCAUUUCUUCAGUUCCUUGCUUUGUAAUCAUUUCUUUUGAUUAACCAACUGACUGCUGGGCCUGAAUGCAUCUGAAAGAGGCCUUCUGAGGUCACGUCUCUGAGGGCUGGGUUCAGGAAUGAAUGAGAAUGCAUGUGCAAACCCCUCAGCCAAGUGCCCACAGGAAGUGCCCAACCAGCUGUGCCACUGCGGCAUUUAUUAUAAAUAAAAAUAAAUUUUAUUUAUUUUAUUUAUUUAUUUAUUUUCACUUAUGGUGUGUUUUGAAUCGUCUGGAAAAAGAAAGUCACCGUUGGACACACAAGUUGCAGGGGUCUUCCCUGACCACGGGGGCUUCCUUGGUCCGUGUCUAGUCACCCACUCCAUGUCUCUCAUGCUUUGAUAGUCAGUUGUGUUUGCCUGUGUGCCUCCUCACCAGAGGCAAGCAAGAGGGCAGGGAACAGGCUGCCAGGAAGCUCUCUUGUCCGUGGGAUGUCAUGCAAAUUAACUCCUCAAGGUGACAAGAUGCCAAGCCCAGGGCUGCUAUCCUCAUUCCCCCUUCCUGUCACUACUUCUGUGGGUAGAAGAGGCAGAAGAGUUUCAACCUGGGCAGUUCAGGGCAGCUACUUAGAGCUUGAUGGGCUCUAAGUAAAGGUUAGGGGCACACAGGAGUCAAGUCACCUUUCCUGCUGUUUUUUUUCCCUUCAAAUCCUGAACCGAUUUGAAGCCUCUCUGAAUGGCUGCCUGUUUACACCAAACAACCCCCAAGGCAGUCAGCACCUUGCCUUUCUUGUCUUUUCUUCCUUCUGGGCCUGUGCACACUGGGCAGUGGCCCCCUUUAUCCGAAAGACCUGGGCCAGGGCUUGGGGGUGUUUGUGAUGUGGGGUUCUGUUUUUUUGGGGGGUGGGGACGGGGGCUGGUGGGGAGAGGUUCCAGUGAAAACUGGAAAACCUGCUAGAAAAAUUCUAAAAGAGCUGUAACACUGGGGUUUUGUUUCUAAUACAAAGUAAAACUACUGAUCGCCAGUCAAGAGGGUGAACCCAGCUGAUGUGGGAAAGCACCUCCAACCACCCUCACCCUGUUGCCCCAACACCUAACUAAAAUACUCUAUAAAAUUUUUUUUAAGUGUAAAAAGUGAAGCUGUGCUUACACAGGAAAAGGACACUUCCAGGUGCCAGAAACCAAGAACUCAGCCAUCAUGAACAGGAAGUGAGGCCACCAGACCAGAUACUCACUUUGAGGAUGUUAUUUUAACACCCUCACAGGGACAGGAGCCAAAGCCACAGCCCCUGUGGGGAUCUGGGUUGGGGAACUGGGCUCUCUGUAAAAAGCUAAGAAGUGGCAAAAUUGUUGCAGAAGUAAGAUCUGAACUUUCUUCCCACCUUGAAAGUGGGAAGCUCAGCUAGGUGCAGUGGCUCAUGCCUGUAAUCCCAGCAUUUUAGGAGGCCGAGGCAGGCAGAUCACUUGAGGCCAGGAAUUUGAAACCAGGCUGGCCAACGUGGUGAAACCAGUCUCUACUAAAAAUACAAAAAUUAGCUGAGCGUGAUGACACAUGCCUGUAGUCCCAGCUACUCAGGAGGCUGAGGCACAAGAAUUGCUUGAACCCAAAGAGGCAGGGGCUGCAGUGAGCUGAGAUCGUGUCACCGUACUCCAGCCUGGGUGACAGAGUGAGAGACUGUCUCAAAAAAGAAAGAAAAGAAAGAGAGAGAGAGAGAGCGCUCAGAGCUUGGAACUAACAUAAAAUAAAUAAAAAUCAGUCUGGAACAGAGGGCCCCAUAAGAUCCACACAGAGGCAACCAAAACCACCCCACAAAGAGUCCUGCUCUGGCUAAAUAGAAGCCCCUGCAAAAACUGAUGCGGCAGACAACACUCCAGAGCACUCUAAGCAGCUCAAGUGCAUCCACCCAGGGGAGAAGUGCGGCUCGCAAGCGUCACACU